AGAACUGUGACCAAGGGCUGAGGUGUAGACAUUCUUUCUCAGAGAAACGUGGUGUAGACAUUGCACGGGUUGUCAGGACACACCAGCAAUUCCCCCACUACCUGUUUUGCUGUUGUGUCUGCCUUAUCAGGUUGUGGAACAGAUCUAAGCUUCGCCGUCUUAGGGCAGGGAUGCCUCAGCCAUAUUUGUUUAUUUAGCAGCCUGGAUUGGCUGCUUUUGAAGAAGGUCCCCUUGAAGAAUCUUGUCUGACUGUGAAAGGAGGGUCAAGAGUGGGUGGGGGUAGAUAAUGGGAAACGGGAGGGGAAGAACCAUCGUGUCCAGGUGCCAGCUGUCUCUCCUUUUGACCCCUUUAGCUAUACCUAUGAUUUUUAAGUGUGUAGCUAUGUAUGUGUGCAAGGCAUUCAUGUGUGUAAAUGUGGGUGUGCAUGUACAGUAUAGCAAGUGUAGAGGUCAGAGGCAACCACGGGUGUUGAUCGCCUCUUCCCGUCUUGUUCGAGACAAGGUCUCUUGUUAAUCCUCUCCCCCCACCAUCCUCCACUCCCCACAUGUGCCAGGUUAGUUGAUCUAGAAGCUUUCAAGGAUUUUCCUAUGUCUGUCCGCACUCCAAUCCUCCCUACCCCCAGUCUCCCCUCUCUUUCAUCAUAGGGAUGCACUAGGACUACAGAUGUAUGCUAUCAUAAUAGCUUUAUGCGGCUUCUGGGAUUUGAACUCUGGUACUUGUGCUUGCUGGGCAGAUGAUAUACCUGUUGAGUCAUUUUCUCAGCCCCAAUAUAUUCAGUGUAUGUGCUGUUCUUCAAGUACCUUGAAUAAAGUGGUUAAGUACAAUUACUUUCCUCCUAAGGGGGGCCAUGGUGAGUCUGAGUAGAAGAUUUUUGGACUCAGCCAAUAGAGAAUGGAUGAUAUUUAUAUUUAUAUUUAGAAAACUACACACAGCUGUCACUCACCUGUGAGACAGUAGUAUGGUCUUUGCCAUCAGCCUGUUAGUAACCAACAAAAACACUUCAUUCCUUUCUAUAUUGUGUAGACUCUAGGGUGCUCUUAAUCUGGAAUCCAGCAAACCCAACUGCAUUAAACACAAAGCAAUUACUUAUUACAGAAGUUUGCCAGCCCUCUCCUGAGUGAUGGGUACCAUUGCUCACCAGGACCUUUAUCCCAGAUAACAUUUAACAAAUGCUUCAUUUCAGACAGACUCUGAAUCAAAUCUCUCCCCAUCCAGAAUUGCCUGUAAAAUGCAGACCUUUUAGUUGGCUAACUGUAAAAAUAAACAGCACACUUGAUGAGGGUAUAGGUAACUAUUUAUUGUGGAAAGUACCUACAAGAGAAAUUGGCAACCCAGGUGAGUCAGCAGCUUUCAGAUACCAGACCAGAAGCCCGAAAGAAAAUGGAAGAAUACGAAAAUUAAUAAGCCAUGUUUUGUUAACCUCAUUCAAGAAGAAUUACAGGUAAUUCUUGUGUCAAGUGAUCACUAUGCUUGGUAACUUGCUGUAAACAUUGAACUCAAUGAGGAAUGAGUAAUUAUUCUAAGCAAGAAAUGUCAGGUUAUGUUUCUUCAAGCUUCUCACAGUUUUGCCAACUGAUCAUUAUAUUUUGUGAUUUUUUGUUAGUUUUCAUUGUCAGUUUUACACAACCUAGAGUGUCAGGGCGUGUCUGUGGGAGGGGUUGUCGUUAUGAUUGAUGUAGGGAUACCCAGCCCACUGUGGGUGGUACAAUUCCCUAGAUGAGGGAUCCUGAACUGUAUAAGAGUGGAGAAAUCAAAUUGGGCACAAAGAAGAGAGCAACUGAGUACCUAUGCAUUCAUAUAACCCUGUCCUUGAUUUUGGAUGUAAUAUGACCAGCUAACUGUCCUGGAACUCGAUCUGUAGACUCAGAGAGUCCUGUGUUGUAUAACAAAAGAGGGUGAGCAAGCCAUGAGGAGAAAACCAGUAAGCAGAGUUUCUCCGUGGUCUCUGAUCCCAUUCCUGCCUCCAGGUUCCUGCUUUGACUUUUAUGUGGAAGUGUAAACCAAAUAAAACCCUUUCCUCCCUAGGCUUUUAUCACAGCAAUGGAAAGCAAAGUAAGACAGCAAAGGCGGUUGUCAGGAUCAAUAACGUAUCUAGUGUUGCAUGGCAAGGGACAAAAAGAGGAAAAGGUUCUGAACUCCAUCUCUGAUCCAAAAUUCCCAUUUAAUUUAAUUAUUUAAUUUAAACCAGUUCAUAGUUCUCCAUUUCAUAUGAAGUCUACACUGCCUGACUUACCCAUGGAGUCAAUAGUCUCGCUACUGAUGGAAGCAGAUUAGCAGACAACUGUAUCACAUGAGUCCCAGAAGGGGUAGCCUGAGAUGAAAGGGGUGCCUCUGCCCCUUGUGUUUGGCUAGCCCAAUGCUUUCACUUGCGUUGCUAUGUCACAGGUCCUUGUAACAUCCCCAGAAAUUCCUCCCUGGAAUUUUAUGAACGAGUGACAGAUCUCAGAGAGAUAGGCGGGUGACCAACGAAGACAAGGAUAGGAACUUCCUCAAACUCCUAGACCAGUGUGCUCUGGCCUUGACCUUUCAGCCAUCCUGUAGGACCGUUUGGAGUGAAAGCCAGUAGCCACUCUUUAUCCACAGUUUCACUUUCUGUGGUUUCAGUUACCCACAGCCAGCCACAGGAAAAAAAAUUAAAUGGGAAGUUCCAGAAAUCAAAAUUCAUAAGCCUUAAAUGGCAUACGAUUUUGAGUAGCAUGAUAAACUCUCUAGACAUGAAUGUCUUUCUUUGCCUCAGACUGCCCACACUACACACCACCCACCUGCUAGUCACUGGGAAGCCAUCUUUGUUAUCAAGUCAACUGUCAUAGUCACAUCCUUAGGUAAUGAUGUGGUAGUAACUUACUGCCAUGGCAUGGCACAUUCGUCAUUUAGCGCCCAUCUUUUCACAUAGUUAUUGUAUCAUCUCCCAUCACCAGAGGAAGGAUGGGUAUGUCUUGUUAAGGUAUUUGGGGAAUGAGAAAGAAAGAGUACAUUCACAUAGACAUAACUUUUAAUUAUGGCAUGUGUUCCAAUUGUUGUAUCUAUGUUGAAUUAAUAUUUUUCCAGUCCUAAUUUGCAAAUUACUUUUUCUAUAGUUGUAGAUACAAUCAUGAACAUCAUACCUGAGAUUUGGUGUCUUCUGCAGUGUCUUCAUCUACUGGGUAACACACACCAUGUGUGUGUGUGUUUGCUUGUGUGUACAUACAUCUGUGCAGAGGUAAUUGUCUGUCCCAAUCUAUUGCUCUCUACCUGGUUCCCUUGAGACACAUGGGUCUACAGGCACCUGCAUCUCUACCCAGCUUGUUGUUUUUCACUAGUGUUGGGGAUUUGAACUCAGGCUCAUUCUCUUACCUACUGAACUGUCUCAGCCCGACUUUUGUCCUUUGAAACUUGAGUGUAUAGGUAUGCAUUGGUUACCCCCAUGCCAAGCCUCCCAUGGACACAGUUCCUGUGCAUGGACUUCCUUAGCAAAUGGAUGCUCCUCUUAAUUCUGGUCUUUUAAUGGCAGGGUGGGCACACAGAGGGCUUGGUAGUAUAAUUAAUACUCUGAACAGCAUACAUGACAGGAAUCUGCUAGCUGUUCAGGCUCAAUUUGUGGGCUGUUCAGCUGAGGGGAUUUUCUAGUCUCUCAGAACAGGUUAAUUAAGCAAAGUUGCUGGAGGGGGCUCCCAUAGUAUGGGGAAGGGGAGGGGAAGACCACAGUAGUGUUUGAAGGCUCCAGCACUGACUGGCACCCUUACCUAGCACUGGAAGGCUCUUUGAAUCUGAAAAAGGAGCUUUUUCUUGCUUCUUGCAGCCUUGGCUCUGAUCACCUCCCUCUGUCUCACAGCCAGAGUGCUGAGUUCCUCAUGGGCCCCUGUCCUGCAACAGACGUGAGGGGACAUGGGGCUCUUCCUCCUUCCAGCAAUAGUGGAAGGAGCGUGAGUAAGGCCCCUCCUAGUCCAUGAAGAGAUGGCUCAUGGGGGAGGGAAGGACUAGAAUGAGAUGUUGGCUCUGUUUCCCAGAAUUAAUGGUCGGCUUCUGCUGAGGCUAUUUGUACUGUAAACGAAAUUAAACAAAAAGCAGAGAUGAAACAAAACAACUGAAAUGAUCAAAAAGCAUUCUGGCGGUGGGUGUAAAACAUGCUUUCUCGGCAGUGCAAGCCCAAGUGUGUGUACCCAUUGGAAAAUGGCUGCUGAGCGGUACCCGUGAGAGGUCAUUUGUCAGGGUGACAGCAGGGGCAUGUGUUUCAAGAGGAGCCUGCCAAUCCAUGCACCAGGAAUUGUCACACAUCCUAGUAGGAUGCAGUGAGUUUUACAUGUGAUGGAGGGGUCUGAAUUGAAAAUGUACACCACCGGAGAGAAAUCUGUGAAAAUUAUCAGAAGGGGUGAGUAGAAACCCAGCAAUUUUAUUACAUCAAGUAAGGGGCAAUUCUUAGCAUCCUUCUGUCGCAUCAAACAGUUUUGUGGUAGACUGGUUCUAUGGAAAGUUUUGUCUAGUUUUCCAUCUGCUGUGAUAACUGAGAUUAGUCAAGCUGCCUGCCUCCAUCUUGGGCUUUGACUUCUGUCAGCACAUCAACACUGGGUAAGGUCAGUUCUUGGGAAGAUGUACCUGAGGGGCUCUGAGGAAUGCCCUCCUUGCAUUGGGUGAGCAGACUCUGAGACGGUAAACUUCAUAUCGGAAAGACCAAACAAAGUGUACAAGCAUCUCUGUUUUCUGAGACCCUCCCUGCUCAUGUGUUCAUACCGAGACCCCUAAGAGUCAGCUCACACCACCAGGAUUGAUCACCAUUGUCUGCACUCAGGCUUGGGGUUUUGUGGACUUUCUUGAGCACACUGGUGUCCUUCUCAGGAACUGCAGAAUCUUGUGAAACCAAUUUUUCUGAAGCUGCUGCAGUCAUCCUCUCUUCAAUGCUUUUUCUUUAUUGUUUUCCUCUAGUUUUAGAACAAAAUUUAAGGCUCAACAAUGUUUUCAAAAUGACUUGAAGGAGCCGGUGAAAGGGAUCAGUUGAUAAAGGUGCUUGCCCCCAAGCCUGAUGACCUGAGUUCAACUCCCAGAAUUCACAAUAUGGAAGUGUCCCAUGAAUCUCAAGUAUCCAACUGGACAUCAAGAUUGCCUUUUCUUAUGGGGUCUGGUUGUUCUUCUGACUUUUGUGACCCUUAAAAUUUGUUGUCAUUCCUUCCAUAGUUAUCUAGAACAACCAGGUGCAUCCUCAAUUGUAGGAUUGUUUCCUUCGAAUUAAAAGAAAAAAGAUCCCUUCAAAAAAUUUUUUUUCACACAAAACCAAGAAUCCCUCCCAGGAAGGCAAUGUGGCCUUUUGUCUGGUUUUUGCCAUUGUUUUGGCCUUUUUCUCUCUCUGCACCCCUCCUGCCUUCAUCCAUCUUGCUCUUCUCCCACUUCAGCUCCUAAAUGCUUAGCAAGCCCCUCAGGAAGGGAACCCCCAGUUCUGGCUAUGCUUGCUAAUCUGCUGAUUCAGCAUGGCCGCAAGGGAGGAAAGAACACACAUCAAACUUGCUGAUGGGUUAGGACAAGCUUGUAAGAUGGAGGAAAACUGUCAGGUCCCUGCAUUUUCUGGGCGAGGGAAGGCUGCUCACAUCUGGGAGCAGAGUGCUACUGAUAAGGGAAGUCUUAUGGCUCUCUAUGGCUCUGUCGUUGUUACACAUCUGGGAGCAGAGUGCGACUGAUAAGGGAAGUCUUAUGGCUCUCUGUGGCUCUGUCCGUUGUUACCUUUGACACCAAGUUGAGCAUCUUGUGCCUGUGGGGAGGCUGCUGUCCCUGCUGUGACUGCCCUGGCACAGCUGUGGCCCUUCUGUCUGGAUUAGCAUCAAGAGGAUGUGGCCAUCCCGUGUGCCCAGCAAAACCUUCUACCCCACCUAACGGAGUUCCAGGUUUUCCCAGCUCUGUCUCCCAUAGAAUGAAGGUCGAUAGACAGGUAAAUGCACGAACACAUUUGUACAUCCCUACUCUGAUUUUGGUGCUGGAAGUGGAACUCCUGGCCUCGUUGCUUGCUUCCAUCCAGAUACAUCUUGAGCACCGAUGCAAUUUCUUUUAUGUGGAGUUUCCUUUUGCUGACUAUAUAGUUUCAAACUCUAAUGUUAAUGUAACUAAUUCCUGGCAGAUGAUGGAUUUUUUAAAGCACAAUUAAAUUAAAGCAGAUUUUCUUUUGGUAAACUAUUUUUAGUAAAAUGCAUAGGAUUAAAAAAAAACCUACCCAGUGCUAACAAUAUGUUCAAUCUGGAUGUGAAGGCACGCUGCUAAGAUCCCUGACACAUUUUGUUAGCAUCAUUUAAGUCAUGCACUGGUGUAUUACUCUGAGAACAAUUUAGCCUUGUAUAAAUAAGGAUGGCUGGCCUCUAGAUAGAUAUGCCACUUAAAGACGUCAAACUGUUAAAAAUGUGAACAGACAUUAAAUAGUAGAUAUACUAUUUGAUUCCUAUAAAAACACUAUGCAAGGGAUCAUUAUAGAACAGGAAAGAGAUGUCACGAUGGAGACCAAACCAGGCUCAGAAGACACUGAAAUGUCUGGUGUGUGCAUUUCCUCCAUCUCCUCUGGGUGGAGAGUAGUGCUGAGCAAUGGUCCCCUCCUCCCGAGUUUGCUUGGCCACCACACUGAUCCUCCAGCCCUUUUAUUUUUCCCAGAAAAGAUGGAGCCUUGAUAUGCUGUCCUGGCUGGCUUCUGAACCCUGGGCUCAAGCAGUCCUCCUAAUUCUGCUUUCUCAGUAGCUGGGACCACAGGUUCAAAGCCAUUUUUAAGUUACAGGAACUGUAGGCCCACACACCCCAAGGCAGUGUGACUGGGACUUUGCAUGCCUUACUUCAUGCUUAGCAAAGAACAGCAAGAAGGCCCCUCCUUAAAGUUGCCUAUAAAAUAGGCUCUCUUUCGUCCCUCCCCCUCCUUCCCUCCCUGCCUCCCUCUCUUCCUCCCUCCCUUCCUCUCUCCCUCCCUCCCUCUGCCCUCUCUCCAUCUCCCUGCCUCCCUCCCCCCCUCUGUCCCACUGAAGAGAAUUAUGAGUGAGAAAAUGCAACCCACUGAGAGGCAAGUCCUCACUGUAAAAUGCAAUGUUUGGCAUUCCUGACUUGAUUGAUUAUACCAGCGUCCUCCCUUCUCCCUGCCAGAAGCAUCCUCACCCCUGCCUAGGACCACAGAGCCAUCUCCACCUAGCUGCUCGCCAGACUCGUUAUCCAUUAUCCCAUUCUCUCAACAGCUGUUUCUUGCUUGCACUCCACACACCAUGAGGUGGGUUUUUUUUUUAUUUUAAGCCUUAAAAAGAGAUGUCUAUACAAUUUUCAUGAUUUCAUUCUAGGGCUAUCUCACUACAUUAUUUGACAUCACAAGUCUAAGCAGCGGCAGGCUCAGGGUAGACAGCUCAGCGAACUGGACAACAGAGGCGGGACACUGAGGUUGAGAACGGCGCAGCCCUCUCAGCCUCGUUCCAGUAGUGCCCGCUCCACGGUCAGCAUCAUGUGGGGCCUCCUGGGAAGCGGGAUGCGCAAAGCUCCUGUGUGGACAGCCAGCUGCUGUCUUCCUUCCCUUCCAGGCCACGCCAAAAAGGGAACUAGAAGGUUCUCAAAGGAGAAUGAACGGCACAGAGUUCCAUGUGCUUCCUGUUUCAAAAGACCGCACACCCUACGCAGAGAACCUGAGUGUCUCCAGUGAACAGACGAACGGAAAGCGCCCGCUCCUGCGCCAGUGCCUUCGAGGGACAGAGUCUCGUGGACUUUGAAUUAGACCAUUGGCAUUUGGAAAACGCACUCUGAGUUUAAAAAAAUCAUUCCAGAGUUUAUACAAAGGACGUAUAUCUGGAUGUGGUAACUCGUUUUCUGUCUGGUAACUUCGUGGGGGGUGGGGCACAGAAGUGAACUUGCUGAUACAUGGGCAGUGAGCGGAUGGGUUUGAAUUCCAAGUGGAUUGCUGACACAGGCCUCCCUAUCCCAACAGCUUGUGAGCUAAGGCAGGAGGGUCCCCUGAACACAGGAGUUUUUCCUCUGAAUUUGCUAAAUGCAAAUGAACUGGUCAUUAUGAAUGUAAUCCUUACCAGAUAAUGAUUCUUAUUGUUUAUAGUUUUAUUAUGUUAGAGUUGAAACCUUUCCUUUUUAUUUAGACCAAAAGAGGGAAAUGUUUUGGAAUAUUUUGUACACUGUGUAAAGAUAUGUCCCUAUGAUUGGCUUAAUAAAAAGCUAAUUGGUCCACCGCUAGACAGGAGGUAUAGGCGGGCCUUCUGGACAGAGAGAACUCUGGGAAGAAGAAAGGAGUCGCCAGCUUGACAUGUAGGAAGGGGACAGGCAAUGCAGGGUAAAGGUAACUGAGCCAUGUAAAAAAAAUACAUUAAGAAAUACGGGUUAAUUUAAGUUAUAGUAACUAGUUAGGAGCAAGCCUAAAAUAAAGCUGACUUUCAUGGUUAACAAUAAGGCAUGUCACUUUCUAUGAGCUGGAAGCCCAAAGAGAAAACCUGUUACACAGCUUGGGCAACAUAAUAAGACCCUGUAUCCAACAUAAAUAAAUCAAUCAAUAAAUAUGUAAAUACACAAAUAACUGCUAGAAAAAAAGUGAAUUGGGAUUGGAAGGUGAUUCCUUCCACAUUUUCCACUUUGAUGUUGCCUGAUGAGCCCCCCAUGGGCAGUAAUGCUGCGUAGCCUAGGAAGCGUGAGUAACAUUGUCUGCAGUUACCUCAACCUCGUACAUCUUUCCAUAGAUUCUGAAGUCCCUGCUUGAGUAGCUCGCUGCCAGGUCAAAUGUACAACCAACCCGUAUUUUGUUACUUUGGGAAAUAUAUUUUUUAAAAAGAUGUCCUUGCAAACAAACAAAAAAACCCUUGCAUCGCCACAUAUAUAACACAUGUAGUAUAGGGAUUGGGUACUGAAGUGUCAAAACCCAAAUCCUAACCCUGCCUGGUUGACAAAUUUUACAGCUGUCGCAAGGUUUUAAGCAGUACAGAUCAUUGGAGCCAAUGAGUUGAUUUGGUGAGAGGAAAUGCUAAUGAGCCUUUGCUCUGUGCAGAGGCCAGUGAGCUGGGAGCAUAGCCUGGCCUGCACCCCUCACCCUGCCAGCUGUCUCACAAAUGCUUGCCAUUGGUCACAGGGGGGACUGGGCAACCUGGGAGUGGAGACGGAUCAGCUCAAAUCCAUCAUCUCUCUGUGUGCAUCACUCAGGCGCUGGCCCUCAUCAUGACAAGCCAGCAGCAGCAUCCCCUUCCUAGCAGGGGCGCACACACUGCAACGAAGUUUGUUAUUUUUCAAGUUGUUGUGUUGGGUUUUUUUUUAAAGAAGACUCUUUUUCUCGUCCUGAAAAUAAACAUGACUGGUAAUGGU
This is a long non-coding RNA of Mesocricetus auratus (golden hamster), 9271 nucleotides long. RefSeq lists it as uncharacterized. The record is from RefSeq and is a predicted model, not a curated record. The transcript is spliced from 2 exons. Lineage: Eukaryota; Metazoa; Chordata; Mammalia; Rodentia; Cricetidae.